RNAcentral lists this transfer RNA (76 nucleotides) under Nocardiopsis dassonvillei. Its description in RNAcentral is "tRNA-Arg(tct)". It matches the Rfam family "tRNA". Rfam says of the family: Transfer RNA (tRNA) molecules are approximately 80 nucleotides in length. Their secondary structure includes four short double-helical elements and three loops (D, anti-codon, and T loops). Lineage: Bacteria; Bacillati; Actinomycetota; Actinomycetes; Streptosporangiales; Nocardiopsidaceae. The record is from RNAcentral. RNAcentral also lists the same sequence under 8 other names.
GCACCCGUAGCUCAGUGGAUAGAGCACCGGACUUCUAAUCCGAUGGUCGCAGGUUCGAAUCCUGCCGGGUGCGCCA